RNAcentral lists this long non-coding RNA (241 nucleotides) under Homo sapiens (human). RNAcentral describes it as "HSALNT0235801". The record is from RNAcentral. Lineage: Eukaryota; Metazoa; Chordata; Mammalia; Primates; Hominidae.
UAUUACCCAGCCCCGGGUCCUUGUCUUUUUAGAAAGAAAGGGAACAGAUGGGUUUAUAGUAAUUCAUAUUCUUUCUCCUCACGGCGGGAAUCAGAGAUUAAAUCAGUGGGUAACCAAGACUGGCUGCCAUGGAGUUCUGCUCCGUUCCUAAUUCCCCUGGAAUAGAAAGAGAGGCGUGGAAUUGGCAGAGCCCUGGCAGCGUGAUGAGGAAACAGACCCCAUUCUGCAGUAAUUAGAAAAC